UACGAAGGGGGCUAGCGUUGUUCGGAAUCACUGGGCGUAAAGCGCACGUAGGCGGAUCUUUAAGUCAGGGGUGAAAUCCCGAGGCUCAACCUCGGAACUGCCUUUGAUACUGGGGAUCUCGAGUCCGGGAGAGGUGAGUGGAACUGCGAGUGUAGAGGUGAAAUUCGUAGAUAUUCGCAAGAACACCAGUGGCGAAGGCGGCUGUCUGGUCCGGUUCUGACGCUGAGGCGCGAAAGCGUGGGGAGCAAACAGGG
Molecule: ribosomal RNA, 254 nt
Filed under: uncultured bacterium
Lineage: Bacteria
Description: partial 16S ribosomal RNA
Rfam family: Bacterial small subunit ribosomal RNA
Source: RNAcentral